GAAAUGCGAUAAGUAAUGUGAAUUGCAGAACUCAGUGAAUCAUCGAAUCUUUGAACGCACAUUGCGCCCGCCAGUAUUCUGGCGGGCAUGCCUGUUCGAGCGUCAUUACAACCCUCAGGCCCCCGGGCCUGGCGUUGGGGAUCGGCGGAAGCCCCCUGCGGGCACAACGCCGUCCCCCAAAUACAGUGGCGGUCCCGCCGCAGCUUCCAUUGCGUAGUAGCUAACACCUCGCAACUGGAGAGCGGCGCGGCCACGCCGUAAAACACCCAACUUCUGAAUGUUGACCUCGAAUCAGGUAGGAAUACCCGCUGAACUUAAGC
This 320-nucleotide unclassified non-coding RNA is filed under the name plant metagenome. Its description in RNAcentral is "partial contains 5.8S ribosomal RNA, internal transcribed spacer 2, and large subunit ribosomal RNA". The stretch from base 1 to 105 matches the Rfam family "5.8S ribosomal RNA", at positions 50 to 154 of the family's 154-position model. The record is from RNAcentral.